This 121-nucleotide ribosomal RNA is filed under the name Diaphorina citri (Asian citrus psyllid). Lineage: Eukaryota; Metazoa; Arthropoda; Insecta; Hemiptera; Psyllidae. The record is from RNAcentral.
ACCAGCGGGGAUAGCAUGACGUUGAAUGUACCAUUUCCCAAUAGAUCACUGACGUUGAACAACAUUGAGCGCGGUUAGUGUCGGGAUGGGUGACCAUCUGGGCAAUGGUGUGCUGCUGGCU